GCCUCGGUGGCUUCGAGGCGAGAGCGCCGGCCUACGGAUCCCCAGGUGGCGGGUUCAAAUCCCGACCGAGGUG
This is a non-coding RNA of Ixodes scapularis (black-legged tick), 73 nucleotides long. Lineage: Eukaryota; Metazoa; Arthropoda; Arachnida; Ixodida; Ixodidae. The record is from Rfam.